AUUGCACGCUGGCGGCAUGCUUUACACAUGCAAGUCGAACGGUAACAGGGUGCUUGCACCGCUGACGAGUGGCGAACGGGUGAGUAAUGCGUCGGAACGUGCCGAGUAGUGGGGGAUAACGCAGCGAAAGUUGUGCUAAUACCGCAUACGUACUGAGGUAGAAAGUGGGGGACCUUCGGGCCUCACGCUAUUCGAGCGGCCGACGUCUGAUUAGCUAGUAGGUGGGGUAAAGGCUCACCUAGGCGACGAUCAGUAGCGGGUCUGAGAGGAUGGUCCGCCACACUGGGACUGAGACACGGCCCAGACUCCUACGGGAGGCAGCAGUGGGGAAUUUUGGACAAUGGGCGAAAGCCUGAUCCAGCCAUGCCGCGUGUCUGAAGAAGGCCUUCGGGUUGUAAAGGACUUUUGUCAGGGAGGAAAUCCCUAGUGCUAAUAACACUGGGGGAUGACAGUACCUGAAGAGUAAGCACCGGCUAACUACGUGCCAGCCGCCGCAGUAA
RNAcentral lists this ribosomal RNA (500 nucleotides) under uncultured bacterium. RNAcentral describes it as "partial 16S ribosomal RNA". It matches the Rfam family "Bacterial small subunit ribosomal RNA", at positions 30 to 523 of the family's 1533-position model. The record is from RNAcentral.